This 468-nucleotide ribosomal RNA is filed under the name uncultured bacterium. RNAcentral's name for it is "partial 16S ribosomal RNA". It matches the Rfam family "Bacterial small subunit ribosomal RNA", at positions 28 to 507 of the family's 1533-position model. The record is from RNAcentral.
GACGAACGCUGGCGGCGUGCUUAACACAUGCAAGUCGAACGGAAAGGCCCUGCUUUUGUGGGGUGCUCGAGUGGCGAACGGGUGAGUAACACGUGAGUAACCUGCCCUUGACUUUGGGAUAACUUCAGGAAACUGGGGCUAAUACCGGAUAGGAGCUCCUGCUGCAUGGUGGGGGUUGGAAAGUUUCGGCGGUUGGGGAUGGACUCGCGGCUUAUCAGCUUGUUGGUGGGGUAGUGGCUUACCAAGGCUUUGACGGGUAGCCGGCCUGAGAGGGUGACCGGCCACAUUGGGACUGAGAUACGGCCCAGACUCCUACGGGAGGCAGCAGUGGGGAAUAUUGCACAAUGGGCGGGAGCCUGAUGCAGCAACGCCGCGUGCGGGAUGACGGCCUUCGGGUUGUAAACCGCUUUCGCCUGUGACGAAGCGUGAGUGACGGUUAUGGGUAAAGAAGCACCGGCUAACUACGUG